Molecule: ribosomal RNA, 374 nt
Filed under: uncultured organism
Description: bacterial SSU rRNA
Rfam family: Bacterial small subunit ribosomal RNA
Source: RNAcentral
CGUAGGGUGCAGGCGUUAAUCGGAUUACUGGGCGUAAAGCGUGCGCUAGGCGGUCUUUUAAGUCAGAUCGUGAAAUCCCCGGGCUUAACCUGGGAACUGCGUUUGAAACUGGAAGGCUUGAGUGUGGCAGAGGGGGGUGGAAUUCCACGUGUAGCAGUGAAAUGCGUAGAGAUGUGGAGGAACACCGAUGGCGAAGGCAGCCCCCUGGGCUAACACUGACGCUCAUGCACGAAAGCGUGGGGAGCAAACAGGAUUAGAUACCCUGGUAGUCCACGCCCUAAACUAUGUCAACUGGUUGUCGGGGAAGACAAUUCCUUGGUAACGAAGCUAACGCGUGAAGUUGACCGCCGAGGGGAGUACGGCCGCAAAGGUUA